GAUGAACGCUGGCGGCGUGCCUAAUACAUGCAAGUCGAGCGAACAGACGAGGAGCUUGCUCCUCUGACGUUAGCGGCGGACGGGUGAGUAAAACGUGGAUAACCUACCUAUAAGACUGGGAUAACUUCGGGAAACCGGAGCUAAUACCGGAUAAUAUAUUGAACCGCAUGGUUCAAUAGUGAAAGACGGUUUUGCUGUCACUUAUAGAUGGAUCCGCGCCGCAUUAGCUAGUUGGUAAGGUAACGGCUUACCAAGGCAACGAUGCGUAGCCGACCUGAGAGGGUGAUCGGCCACACUGGAACUGAGACACGGUCCAGACUCCUACGGGAGGCAGCAGUAGGGAAUCUUCCGCAAAGGGCGAAAGCCUGACGGAGCAACGCCGCGUGAGUGAUGAAGGUCUUCGGAUCGUAAAACUCUGUUAUUAGGGAAGAACAAAUGUGUAAGUAACUAUGCACGUCUUGACGGUACCUAAUCAGAAAGCCACGGCUAACUACGUG
This 497-nucleotide ribosomal RNA is filed under the name uncultured bacterium. Its description in RNAcentral is "partial 16S ribosomal RNA". It matches the Rfam family "Bacterial small subunit ribosomal RNA", at positions 28 to 507 of the family's 1533-position model. The record is from RNAcentral.